CUGUUCUCAUGUCAGGCCCUGUUCAUUCUGGUUCAUAGUAGUAUUAUAUUCUGCCCUCGGUUUCUGUUUUAGCUCUGUUCUCAGCUGUUCCUCAUUUCCAUUUUUUUGUUGUCACUCCACGCCCCUGCACCUGCCACUGUGUCUUCGUCCCUCACUCAUAUGUGGUUGUGUUGUCACUUCAUGCCUCUUCACCAGCUCUUGUGUCCUCAUCUCUCACACAAAUUCUUUCUGCUUUGUGUUUCUCUUCACUCACGGUCUUGGCACCUGUUCACGUCUUUGUCUUUUCAUCACUCCACGUUGUGUUGUCUCCACCUCACUAUCUUGCACAGUCUUUGUCCUCCAGCCACGAACACCUCCCCCAGGGUUC
Thalassophryne amazonica is the source of this 367-nucleotide long non-coding RNA. RefSeq lists it as uncharacterized. The transcript has 3 exons. The record is from RefSeq and is a predicted model, not a curated record. NCBI's taxonomy places the organism in Eukaryota, Metazoa, Chordata, Actinopteri, Batrachoidiformes, Batrachoididae.